This is a long non-coding RNA of Erinaceus europaeus (western European hedgehog), 3321 nucleotides long. RefSeq lists it as uncharacterized. The transcript has 2 exons. NCBI's taxonomy places the organism in Eukaryota, Metazoa, Chordata, Mammalia, Eulipotyphla, Erinaceidae. The record is from RefSeq and is a predicted model, not a curated record.
CCCAUUUCCUUUCUGCAGAAAUUAUUUCUUAACAGAUUUCAGGAAAUAUGAGAAUCAAUCCAGAGUGUGGAAUAAGCAUGCAUUCCUAAGUGCUCCAGAAAUGUUUUAGUCCACAAAAUAAGUCUUAAUGCUGGUCUUAUAGUUACACUUCAUAAACAACUUUUUCUAGUUCCCUAUAGCCUUUUGAAUAAUUUUGAUUUGUAAUCUUACUAGAAUCAAAUUUCUACAUAUUUUUAUCACUAUAAUUCAGUUAUUUAGAAAGUAUUUUCAGUAUUCUGAGUGGCAGAAGUUAAUCAAAAUCAAAUUAUUUGAUGAUUUAAAACAAAAUACAGGCAUGAGAAUAGGGUUUGGAGUUUCAGAUUUAAGUCUUCUAAAAUCAUUUUCAUUGUUCAUAGAAUUUUCUUAAGAAUAGCAAGAGACUGAAAAAUGUAAAGAAUGAUCUGUCCUUUCAAGAGCUGCCUUACAGUUUAUACAGAAAGUCUGGUACCUUGCUUCCUGCCUUCACUUCUGUGCUCUUUCCAGAUAAAACUCUUAGAAAGUAAAUAUUCCACUGUAAUACCCAUUUCUCACAUUGUUCCAGAGAGGUUUUAUUUGAUGAUAUGGGUUAGGGGCUCUCAGAUCCCACAGAUCCUAAGAUGUGAUUAUGAGGUUUUCUAAAUAAUAUAGUUGAAAUACCCAGAGGGGUCAGGGGAAGAUAAUACUCUAAGAAAACAAGUUUCAAAAGUUUUUGAGUGCGUGUGUGUGUGUGUGUGUGUGUGUGUUAAGGAUGGACAUUAAGUCUGUAAUUGGGAGACUAUAAAAUUUCCAAACCAAAGGCAGUCUGACUGGUAACAAAUCUGCUAAAGAAACAGCUGUGAAUGUUUUAUGUUGUAGCUAUUGGUCUUGGGAUUAUCUUUAUGCAUAUGAGAAGUCCAUAUUCAACAAAAGGCAGUUGCUUGUAUCAAGAAUGGAUGUUCUGUUUCAGAGAAAUCAGUUGAGUAACAACCUACCAUGCAAGUCAUGAAUUGGAAUGCUAGAAAGACAUGAAGAUGAUUUUCAUAUAAAUGAAGAACGGGGAACAGAUUCCAUCUUUCCAGCAGGUAUCUCAGUACAACUAAACUUAAGAUAAAGCCUGGAGUUACCUAAAAGAUGGUUAAAAGUUUAUGUACCCAAUAAGAUGAUUGAUGAUGAUUAAUGGUACUCAGUGAAACCCAUGAAGUGUUUGUUAGACUAAGUUGAGUGCGCACUUUAUGCGACUGUGACUAUUGUGAAUCCAUUUAAAGACUUGCAUGUGAGGUGCUUAGAUCAAAAUAUUCUGAAACAUAAAAAAGGAAAGGCAUCUCAGUGGAUAUCUGAACGUGUACUCAUAGACUCUACCUAGCAAGAGAAAGGGGGGGGGGGAAUGCUCAUGAAUUUUCCCAUAGAUACUGAACUUAUUUCUUAUAAAUGUUUCAAUAUUAUUUAGAUAUAUCUGAAUUUUCAUAUUAACCUGUUUCUUGAAAAGUUAUUUGAUACAAGAGUCACUCUAAAAUCCACUUGAGGAUUGGAAAGGAUCCUUUUGUAAUAUGCAGCAACACUGAAAUUUUUUGUGGAUCUUAAUUAUCAUGUUCUGCUUAAAGUGGCAUACACAUCAAGAUUCCUGUGCUUUGUUUUUUUUUUUUUUUGUAUCAAUAACUGCAGAUUUUGUAUUUGUGCUUUACUUGGCUGGUUUCUAAGAUUUCAGAAUUGAAUUAACUUUUUGUAACUUGAAAGAAUCCACAGAGAAAGCUGUGAAUUUAGCAUAUAUGACCCAGGACUGAACAGCUUCUUACACUGAAAGUUUAGUCAGUAUUGACUCCUUCACCUGCUAUCUAGAAGCUAAUUCUCCAUGGUCCUGUGAAAAAUAGCUUGGUUUGGAUAAACACAGCAUCAUUCAUUUAGCACUGGGAAAGCUAAUUACAAUGGAAUAGAGAUCACAACAUAAAAACUGGACACUUCUGCAACGUCUUAUUUGCAGAGUCAGUUAAUUAUGUACAUAAACCUCUGUUUCACUAGUGACCAGUUGCAGCCUUGGAUUUAUUUUAGAAAAGCAACUAUACUUUCAUUAACUGCCAUAAUGCCUUAGAAAUGUAAUGAGGAAUGUAGUUGGAUAAGGUAUAUUUCAGAGGACUUUGCAAUGCAGAACUAGCAGUGAGUGAAAUUCCUAUAAGCAUUUUCCGUGAGUUAGGAUUUUGUGAGCAUAAAUUUUUCCAACUUACAGUUCUCAUCAGUAUUGUUUGCCAAAUCAUUGGGUUUCUUAUUUUUCUGCUUUCUUUUCAGUUUAAGGUACUUUAUUUCCAUUUUCUAAAACCAAGUUUCUCACUCUUUGAAGUCCCAGAACAGCUGAUUGUUCCCAAUGCAGAUUUCUGUGUGUAUUGAAGUUAGAGUGUGACCCCAUGUAAUCACAGUUGGAGUCCGUUGCUAAUAAGACACUGGGCUGUAUUUCUCAUCAGACCACUCCUGCCACUUGAGAACAGAUUAUCAUUCACUUCUGAAACAACCACAAUUAAUUAAUUUGCUUUGUGUACUUGUAUUAUUCACCAUUGUGAAUAGAUGCUCUUAUAGAAUUUGACUCCUGUUUUAGUAAAGGUUAGACAGUUUUGCUUCCUUACAUAUUAUAAGCUUAAAAAGGUACACAGUGUGUUCCUAGAUAUAUGACUCGUUCACCUGGUUCAGCUUUUGUCUUUGAUCUGACACUUUGCUCAUGAAUCAGUUGAUAUUAGUCACAAAUGAAAAGUGACUCCCCACUAUAUACUGUGUUGAGGAGAAGCAAGUUUGACCUCCAAAAUAUCCUCUCUACCGGAAAUGCCAUUUUCAAUCCUUUACUACAGGUCUGCCAUGUGAAUCACAAGAGAUGGGACAUCAGAGUAUCAGAGUUGUACGGAUCACCAGUUAGAGAUACUGUUUGUGAUACUGAUAGGAGCAUGCAGAUUAGAGAGGAAAUUGUGUUCCUCAGUAUUGGGGAGAGAGAGAGUGAGACAGUGAAAGCCCGUGAACUCACCUACUAAGCCAGCCAAUCACUGAGCUCUCUCUUACAAAAGGUUUUUUACUUUUAACCUGUUUUUUUCAAUCAGAUUGUAAGGACAAACAUUUCCUGAUAUUUUUGUGUGUUUGUUUGUUUGUUAAGGUUUAAAAAAACAUGAAGACUUUUCCCAAUUAAAUUUAUGACAGUGUGAACUUAAAUAGUGCCAUUAAAUUUAUUCUGAAAGAACUGCCAACAUAAAACUUAGAUGUGUCAGUAUGUCAGCUGUGUACCUGGAAGAUACUGUAUAUCAGAAAAGUGUAUGCUUCUCUAAGUAAAUGUUACUAAGCCAUAUCACAUUU